Non-coding RNA from Sturnus vulgaris (Common starling), 2575 nucleotides. Lineage: Eukaryota; Metazoa; Chordata; Aves; Passeriformes; Sturnidae. The record is from RefSeq and is a predicted model, not a curated record.
AGCUUCAUUUAAUCUUGGCCCAGAGCUCUCACUCCUGGUUUGAGCUUCCCUGGGUCUUAGCCUUGUGUUCUGUCUCUGCCUUGGUUGGCUGUUGGUUCGGAAUUGAAUAAAGAAGAGAUUCCUUCCUUGCAGAGCUGCUGUUAUCCAAAGGACAAAAUACCAGUCAGCACGACUAUUGUCUCCUCUGUCACAGGUCCUCAGCUCUCCAAUCUUUUUUCUGACAUCAGGUAAGCAACUUGACCACAAAUUAGAUCUCUAUUUUGGACGUGCCUGAGUGCACAUUGCACUGCAAGCCUUAAAUUCAGGCCUUGGGUUCCCAAUACUUCACUCUCUCCUCUCAUUCACUUUCUUCUUCACUUCUCUGGGUGAGAGAUCUCUGUAUUUCUGUUCUACUCCAAAUACACCUCUCACUCCAGUCAGGUUUUGGUACUUUUGAUAAGGAUACCAACAAAUGCCCCACCAGCACAGUCAGAGGCUGUGCAGAACCUGCUGCCACAUAGGAAAAGGGGACAAGGUGUUUAUUGCAAACUGGAUGGAAGUACCCUGUGGUUAUCUGAAAGGAUCACCUUGUAUGAAUGGGUUAAAUAGUUUUGAAAGUAGUUUUUAAACAGUGAGGCUAUGCAGUCUCAUUGCAUUGAGUAAAGCCUGAGCAAGCCCACUUCUUACACUCUGUGUGUAGGUGAAGCCACUCACCAGAGCAGUUUGCUCCUGGCAGCCCAGGAGAAGGAUGGUCACAGUCUUGCUGCAUCUGAGGUCAUUGUAUUUAUCGUGUCUUUCCCUGCAGUGUCUGCUCUGGGGAUGGACAUAGGAUACCUAUCUGCAGAGCUGCCAGUCAAUAACUUGCAAUUAUAAUCACCUAGUUUUUAGGCUAGAGAACAAUCACCCUGCACCAGGAGAUAAGGACAAGUCAGUGAGUUAGCUUGGUGUGUUUUGCUGUUAUCUCUCUAUCCAUGCUGUUCUGAGACUCACACGCAAAGUCUCUGGAGAGUUCCCUUGUCUUUCUGCUGGAUGCCUAACUGCUAAAUUUUGUUGGAAACUAGUCCUUACCAGUCCCACUAACAAGCAUUAAUGGCUCUGUUGAGCCUCAGCAGGGGCUCACCCUCAGACUCUGCCAUGCCCAGGUGCUCUGUUUAGGCUCAGACUUGGGUUGGCACUUCUGGCCAGAGUCCUGCUGUGAAAUGCUGGUCUCUGGAUCAUUUGUGCUUGUGCCUGGAUGUUUUGGUUUCUGCACUCCACAAGGUGAAUUUUGCUCUACUUUGUCUCAUUGCUGCCAGAAAUGCUUGUGGAGCAGAACCAGGUUUGCAAAAACAGCAUCCUUUGUGCUUACAGCCAGCCAGGCACUGUCCAGGAGCAGUGCAUGCCACUUUGGAGAGUUGUUGACACGGAGCCUGGAAAGAUGUGGCUCUAUAAUGUACUCAUUGUCCUCACAUCUCAGCAGUUGUAGUCCACUUUUGGUCUGACUCCUUAAAGGUGAAGAGGAAAUGGAUUGUGCUUCUGUGGACUCACAACUUCUUACUGCUGGCUGCAUGUUAUCUGGCAGACUGCUGGGUCCCUGUUUGAUAGCUGAGGAAAAAUAGAGGAAUGUAACAAUUCUUUAAAUGAAGCAGGAAAAUGAACAUCAAAUUAUAUAUCAACCCUCACAACUACAACUGUGCUGGGUUCCCUUUCAGCUCAGACAUGGAAAACGUGCCUGGAAGUAGUUGGAGACACCUAUUGUGAAUCUGUCUUUACAGCUAAUUCCUGAAAGUCUUUCUGUUCAUCAGCAUCCUUGCAUAUGCCUUGUGAGCCAGCCCAGCAGGUGUGUGAAUGCUGCUUGUUUCCUCUGUCACCAAAACUUGGCACACACAGUGAGUGGGCAGUGAGAACUGCUCUGGAGUCUGCUGCUUGCCCUUUGUGUGUCAGUGUUUCCUGUCAGGCUGUCACAGGACACAAAUAACAGGCAGAAGGGAUGCAGACAGGGGCAGUGACCUUGGCAGGCUGUUUUCCCAAAAGGCCUGGGGCCAGCCUCUGGUCUUAGACACUCACCAUUCCCAGUGGGAUUGGCAGGGAAAACUAACAGUGAGGAGGAGUUCUACAAGCAGAUGCACUGCUAUGGUAAGAGCAAAGUUGCAGUUACAUUUGAUAUUCAAUUUGCCAAAUUACCUCAGCUGAAAGUAAUUUGCAGCAACUGUGCACAAACUCAGCAGGCAGUGGUCCUCGAGGUGAAUUUGAAUUACUUGAUAAGUGUUCAGCAAGUCUCUUUUAUGUUUAGGGAAUCUUAUUCCUAAAUUGCCUUUCUCUGUUGGUUGUAUGCUUCUUAUUUUGUAUGUACUUUGUAAUUGGGAGUGAAGGGCCAGAGUCUUGGCUCUUAACUGGAGACAGAUUUUGGUUGUUGCCUUCGAAAUUUUCUUGAAGUGGGAUAGUGUUCCUUCCUGGAGCUAUUGCUUGGAAGGGAGGAAAAUACUGCCCCAUAUCAGCUGUGAAUGUAAUAACACAUCUGAAUAGACACCAGGUUCUUAAGUUAAUUUCUCCUUCCUUUUAGGCUUCUUCAGACUGGUCCAGGAUUUCUUCUAUAAGCUUGUAGUUGUUCUUUCUA